This 447-nucleotide ribosomal RNA is filed under the name uncultured bacterium. RNAcentral's name for it is "bacterial SSU rRNA". It matches the Rfam family "Bacterial small subunit ribosomal RNA", at positions 767 to 1216 of the family's 1533-position model. The record is from RNAcentral.
AGCCAAUAGAUACCCAGGUAGUCCACGCCCUAAACGAUGUCUACUAGUUGUUGGUGGAGUAAAAUCCAUGAGUAAACGCAGCUAACGCGUGAAGUAGACCGCCUGGGGAGUACGGUCGCAAGAUUAAAACUCAAAGGAAUUGGCGGGGGCCCGCACAAGCGGUGGAUUAUGUGGAUUAAUUCGAUGCAACGCGAAAACCCUUACCUGGCCUUGACAUGCCACUAACGAAGCAGAGAUGCAUUAGGUGCCCGUAAGGGAAAGUGGACACAGGUGCUGCAUGGCUGUCGUCAGCUCGUGUCGUGAGAUGUUGGGUUAAGUCCCGCAACGAGCGCAACCCUUGCCAUUAAUUGCCAUCAUUUAGUUGGGCACUUUAAUGGGACUGCCGGUGACAAACCGGAGGAAGGUGGGGAUGACGUCAAGUCCUCAUGGCCCUUAUGGCCAGGGCUU